Molecule: long non-coding RNA, 827 nt
Filed under: Castor canadensis (American beaver)
Lineage: Eukaryota; Metazoa; Chordata; Mammalia; Rodentia; Castoridae
Description: lncRNA (ENSCCNG00000019706.1)
Source: RNAcentral
UUUCCAUGGCUUCCUGUGGGUCCCCAGCCUGUCCUGGAGAGUUCUCUGCUCUGUGAAUGGACUGUGUGUCCCAGCCUGUGAUGGGAUCAAGGACUGUCCCAAUGGCCUGGAUGAGAGAAACUGCGUCUGCAGAGCCACAUUCCAGUGCCAAGAAGACAGCACGUGCAUCUCGCUGUCCAGAGUCUGUGACCGGCAGUCUGACUGUCUCAACAGCAGUGAUGAAGAGCAGUGCCAAGAAGGAGUGCCUUGUGGGACAUUCACCUUCCAGUGUGAGGACCGCAGCUGUGUGAAGAGGCCCAACCCACAGUGUGAUGGGCAGCCUGACUGCAGGGACGGCUCGGACGAGCUCCACUGCGGUGAGCCUGUUCUGCCAGCACUGGGAUGAGGGGCUAGCAGGGAGGGGAGAGUCCCCCUGGGGAAGCUGGAAGGGAGUCUCACAAAGUGUUGCUUGUCUCUCUGUCCCUGACCUCUGUUGUCUAUCUUGAACCUGUCUCUCCUUCGUUUUUCUCAUCCCUCUCCAUCUCUCUGCUUUGUUCUUCCUCUGUCCUCUAUUUCUCAUUGGCCUUUCCCCCCUCUUCUCCUCCCCUGUCCACCCCUGACCCUCCCUCUCUCCCAGACUGUGGCCUCCAGGGCCCCUCCAGCCGCAUUGUGGGUGGAGCAGUGUCCUCUGAGGGUGAGUGGCCUUGGCAGGCCAGUCUCCAGAUUCGGGGUCGACACAUCUGUGGAGGGGCCCUCAUCGCUGACCGCUGGGUGAUCACAGCGGCCCACUGCUUCCAGGAGGACAGGUGAGUGGGCAACAUGGGGGAGGUGUGGUGUAUGAGCUCUCU